ACACACACUCACAUGCACACACAGCUUCUACACACACUCACAUACACACACUGUUUACACACACACACACACACUCUGUUUUACAGACACACACACACACACACACACACUGGUUUACACACACACACACACUGUUUUACACACACACACUCGCAUACACACACAAUUUCUAGACACACACACACACACACACACACACACACACACACACACACACACACACACACACUAUUUUACGCGCACACACACAC
RNAcentral lists this long non-coding RNA (251 nucleotides) under Erythranthe guttata (spotted monkey flower). RNAcentral's name for it is "long non-coding RNA (EGUT_LNC002594)". Lineage: Eukaryota; Viridiplantae; Streptophyta; Magnoliopsida; Lamiales; Phrymaceae. The record is from RNAcentral.